UUCCUACGGGACGCAGCAGUCGGGAAUAUUGCGCAAUGGAGGAAACUCUGACGCAGUGACGCCGCGUGCAGGAAGAAGGUUUUCGGAUUGUAAACUGCUUUAGACAGGGAAGAAAAAAGACAGUACCUGUAGAAUAAGCUCCGGCUAACUACGUGCCAGCAGCCGCGGUAAUACGUAGGGAGCAAGCGUUAUCCGGAUUUAUUGGGUGUAAAGGGUGCGUAGGCGGGAUAGCAAGUCAGAUGUGAAAUCCUAUGGCUUAACCAUAGAACUGCAUUUGAAACUGUUAUUCUAGAGUAUGGGAGAGG
This 305-nucleotide ribosomal RNA is filed under the name uncultured bacterium. Its description in RNAcentral is "bacterial SSU rRNA". It matches the Rfam family "Bacterial small subunit ribosomal RNA", at positions 336 to 657 of the family's 1533-position model. The record is from RNAcentral.